GUUGAUGUAUCAGAUCAGUCUGAUCGGUGCAGCGUCCAAUCAAUAACUGAUAUCUAAUAAGGAUAUGAGUCGAGGAGAGGAGUCGAGCGUAUAAAUUCAGAAAUGGGAAAGGCCUUGUGACACAGUCCUGCAAACAGAAGAACCCCCAACAAGGAAGUGUUUAAACUGUAAACUGGUUUAAACUGUG
Sebastes umbrosus (honeycomb rockfish) is the source of this 187-nucleotide long non-coding RNA. RefSeq lists it as uncharacterized. The transcript is spliced from 3 exons. NCBI's taxonomy places the organism in Eukaryota, Metazoa, Chordata, Actinopteri, Perciformes, Sebastidae. The record is from RefSeq and is a predicted model, not a curated record.